UGGGGAAUCUUGCGCAAUGGGCGAAAGCCUGACGCAGCCAUGCCGCGUGAGUGAUGAAGGCCUUAGGGUUGUAAAACUCUUUCACCGGGGACGAUAAUGACGGUACCCGGAGAAGAAGCCCCGGCUAACUUCGUGCCAGCAGCCGCGGUAAUACGAAGGGGGCUAGCGUUGCUCGGAAUUACUGGGCGUAAAGGGCGCGUAGGCGGAUCAGCAAGUUGGGGGUGAAAGCCCGGGGCUCAACCUCGGAAUUGCCUUCAAAACUGCUGAUCUAGAGUACGGGAGAGGUGUGUGGAACUCCGAGUGUAGAGGUGAAAUUCGUAGAUAUUCGGAAGAACACCAGUGGCGAAGGCGACACACUGGCCCGUUACUGACGCUGAGGCGCGAAAGCGUGGGGAGCAAACAGGAUUAGAUACCCUGGUAGUCCACGCUGUAAAACGAUGAUUGCUAGUUGUCGGCAGGCAUGCCUGUCGGUGACGCAGCUAACGCAUUAAGCAAUCCGCCUGGGGAGUACGGUCGCAAGAUUAAAAACUUAAGGAUUGACGGGGUCAUAGCUGUUU
Molecule: ribosomal RNA, 557 nt
Filed under: uncultured bacterium
Lineage: Bacteria
Description: partial 16S ribosomal RNA
Rfam family: Bacterial small subunit ribosomal RNA
Source: RNAcentral